UCCAGUGCUAAGAGUUGUGGGGAUGUGU
This 28-nucleotide non-coding RNA is filed under the name Mus musculus (house mouse). Lineage: Eukaryota; Metazoa; Chordata; Mammalia; Rodentia; Muridae. The record is from RNAcentral.